Long non-coding RNA from Neofelis nebulosa (Clouded leopard), 2985 nucleotides. RefSeq lists it as uncharacterized. NCBI's taxonomy places the organism in Eukaryota, Metazoa, Chordata, Mammalia, Carnivora, Felidae. The record is from RefSeq and is a predicted model, not a curated record. The transcript is spliced from 3 exons.
UGUGUCAGCGCUGAACAAACCGUCAUGACCUGUUUUCUGGCUGAUGCAAACAGAUUCACCCUUGUAAAAAAUACACUGAGUGGCAUUAGCUCUUAAUAGAUAGGAUUUAAUGGUAGUAUCUGCAGCUGUCGGCUGUGGGAUUUCUUUUUAAGAGCGCAGUUAUGAUUUAGGCCAGACACAUAAGACUAUUGCAAUUAGGGAGGUAACUAAAAAGGCUUAAAUGACCUUGUAGGGAGAGGGGUCUGUAUUCCCAGCUGCGCUCCCAGUGCCGGCUAAGCAUCCUGUCUAGAUGGGGAGAUGGUGCAACACCCCAGCCUUGGAAAGCAUAUCAGAGGGGAAGGAAGGGAAAGGGUGGUUUGAACUACAAAGUUCAGUUGGCAAACACAGCUCUUCUCUGUCUCUCUGGAAAUUUAUAAGCCAACUAGCAAGCAAGGUGGCAAAGCCGGAUUUCCAGUGGGAGCAAUGUGUCCCGAGCCCGCUGCUGCUGGAGUUUUGGAAAUGUCCUAUAUCCGGCCCUGGAGGUAGGCUGAUGACAGCUGAAGAAGACUGUAUUUGCUGAGGAGCAGCAUGAUGGUAGAGAGGAGCAGAGCUCCUGAGGGAGACCUAAUGGUUCCUCUCCUUCCUGCACGGAGAUAAAGACUUAUAAUAAGCGUGCAUGUUCACCAUCUGGCUCUGUGCAUGUGGUCCUUAUGGAGGGGAAAGCAGCACAAUCUGUAAAUGAUCAGGAGCCAUGGCGCUCUCUCCAGAGAAUCCACGAUGCAAUCAAGGUGACAGAUGGCAUGGCCACUGCUGUGGCCUCAUGGAGAAGAUCAAAAUCACCUUCAAUAAACUCUGACUGAAAUGGGCAUGAGCACCUCAAAAAAGUCAGUUUGUCAGUCAAACUGCGACAGCAAGCUGCAUUGGGGAAACAUAGCGGCCAGCUCUCUGUUUUCAAUCGUUUCCGUCUGACUGGGCCUGAACUAUGAUCUUUCUCAAAUUGUCCUUUCUGUUUAGCUGAAGCAGGCCAGCAAAUUGCCAGAUUCAUUGCUUUAUUGAAGAAAAUUGAAAACACGAUGUCCUCAAUUCCGGGGACGUGCGACUGGCAGGUGCUGGGACACCCAAGCGCUGAGAGUGGAUCCCCGUGUCUUCAGCCCAAGUUUGCUCAACUUUAGGCAGAUUUUUGGAUAUGAAAAUAAAAUGCAAAUAUGUGCCUGGCCUGAAAAGAUCAGCUGGCAAUGGAUAUGUGAAGGGUAUUAGAUGUCCAAUAAAUGUGUGUAGAAUAAACACAAGCUUGAAAGGAAAAGGAGGAAAGGAGGAAGGAAGGAAAGAGACGAAGUCUCCGUGUUGUUGGUUUCAUGUAUUUUGACAGCAGGCUGCCUUGAUGAUAGAUUCGCUAUCCAUUUCCUUUUCUGUGCAUGUUUAUCGAAUAUAGAUUGCUGUGAACUUGAAGCCUGGGACAUAAGAUCAGCGAAAUACAGGUGGAACAUUUUGUCCUAAACAAAUUGUAUAGAAUUUGUAGAGGUCAACGAGUUCAGACAAAUUUCCAUUUUUGACCCCCUUCCUUCCACAGCUGAAACAUUUUUGAAAGGUCCAACUGCUCGUAAAACUAGAGGGGGAUGAGUAAAAGUUACCUGUAGUGGGAGAAAAAUACUGUACUGUCUUUUUGAGAGGUAAGGGCACUGAUUUCAGGUCAAAGAUGAUGGAUCUUAAUGAAAGGACUCUCCCCCUCCCUCUCCCUCCUCCUCCCUUGGCAGAGUUCCACUGUUGUUCUUCCUCCCAAGCUCCAGGAAAUGUACAUUUCAAGCAAAAGUCGACUUUCCCAACCUUGUGGUUUCCCCAGAACCCCGUAUCUGUUCUCUGAUCCUGGUGUUUUAUAUUAUUAAGCCUGUGAGGAUAUCUCACAAUUCCAACAUCCCAUUGAUUUUCCUACUCGAGACCAUAAUCUUCUAGUUUGCAUACUUGCUUUAUUUAAAAUCCAAAUCCUGCUCCCGCCCCUGUCCCCAUACUCCAUGUUGUAAAUUAUUUGCUUGACAGCUGAGAAAUAUCUUACUAUUGGGUUCUGGAUUCUCAUAAUGGCUUUCUUUUCCCUCAUAGUUGCUUCUGAAUGCUAAUGUCCUGCUGUAGAGAUUUACAAACAACUGAAGGACUUCAUCUCUAAUCUGUGUACACAAAGCGAGAGAAACUAUGAAAAAGGGCUCAUAUUUUGAGUAACAGAAAUAGCAAGGACUUCAUAUAAGGACUGUCUUUUCACAGAACAUGUAAGUGUAGCUGACUUGUUAUGUGUCACGGUUCCAUGUGGUCUCCUGGGAGCCAGGGACUAAAUUUAUUCAGGAGGAAAUAUCUAUGGAGUGCUGAACACCUUCUAGGUAUAGGCUGUGUCAGGAGCUGAGAAAUAAAACUUCAUAAAGAAAAGUAGGUAUCACACAGCACUUUUAUGGUCAUUCUCCCCUCCGGCUGGCUCUCUGCUGAGCCCGUUUGCAUUCUCAUCAAUAAUAGCUCUUGUGGAACACAGGACCCAGACGUGUGGGCUGGUGGGAGCAUGCUGUCCUGUCCCUGGAGACGCUGUGUGUAUUCUCCAUCCUGGCCUUUGGCUCUCUGGAAUGACAGGCUCUGUAAUAGACAUGUUCAUCAACACGGCCACAAGGAGGGGUGGCAGGAUGGGUCAUUUCUGUCUAUCGGUAGCAGUUUCUUCCCCCCCAGACUCCAGCUGCUCACAUGGAGUUAUGCUUCAGAAAGGCAAAUGGGUCUAAUCCUUUCCUUAAGGAAAAAGAUUAUAUGGGGAAAUUCAGCAGGGGCCAGAAGGUUGAAGUAGCCUACACUGGAACACGAAUGUUGUGAGGCAACCAGCAGGAAAUUUAGUAAUCAGAGCUCGGCCUAAAUUCAGAUAAUUACGUUCAAGUUCUCUCUUGCGUGCAGUGUCACCUGAUCGUAUGCAAAUUGUGUAACCAUAUAUCAUUACUCUCUUUUAUGUCCUAUCAUUCCUAAAUAAUAAAUUGCUUAGAGAAA